GCUGUAAUAUACGUCAUCCUAUAAGUCACCUAUCACGUACAUGCUGUAAUAUACGUCACCUAUCACGUACAUGCUGUAAUAUACGUCAUCCUAUAAGUCACCUAUCACGUACAUGCUGUAAUAUAAGUCACCUAUCACGUACAUGCUGUAAUAUACGUCACCUAUAAGUCACCUAUCACGUACAUGCUGUAAUAUACGUCACCUAUCAUGUACAUGCUGUUAUAUACGUCACCUAUCACGUACAUGCUGUUAUAUACAUCAUCCUAUAAGUCACCUAUCACGUACAUGCUGUAAUAUACGUCACCUAUCACGUACAUGCUGGUAUAUACGUCACCUAUCACGUACAUGCUGUUAUAUACAUCAUCCUAUAAGUCGCCUAUCACGUACAUGCUGUUAUAUACGUCACCUAUCACGUACAUGCUGUUAUAUACGUCACCUAUCACGUACAUGCUGUUAUAUACGUCACCUAUCACGUACAUGCUGUUAUAUACGUCACCUAUCACGUACAUGCUGUUAUAUACGUCACCUAUCACGUACAUGCUGUAAUAUACGUCAUCCUGCUCCUGAAAUCUGCAUCUGCGUUCAUCCCAGCCAUCAGCAACGGAGCGUUGGGGUAAGUGCAUGCCUGACAUCAAUGUGUGUGCAAUUACAGUGAUCAUUUAACGUGGUCAAUUUCACACACAAAUAUAGAACAUGUCAACAGUGUAAUUGUGUAGUGGAAUGUUUUGCCUUGUGUGGUAGGUUUUGACACGCUUAUGUAGGUGUCAUAACUAGCCAUAAAAUAACGCAAUAUGUGUCAUGACAAGGGAUAUGACCAUAUUAAAAAAGGUACCUAUUAAAAUGGUUAUUACUAUGUCAUAACGUGUUAUGACGGUGGAUGUCAAGUGAAGUGUUACCCAUAACGGUAAUCCUAAUGUUUGUAUUGCUUUAAAAUUGGUUAGGGUCCAAAAUCUCUCACGAGCAUGUGGCCUGGAUAAUGAUUAACAUGAUCUCAUUGUAGACGCCAAUGAGUAUAUACUUGAAAUUAAAUUGUAUAAUGUGUGCAUUUCUGUGAUUUUAUAUACAACUUUUUUUGUUUAAACGGAUGCACAAGCAUAAAUGAAGUUGUAAAGGCAUUGAUGCCAUGCUAUUCUUGCACAUUUUGUCUUCUGUUUUAUUGUGGCUGGUAAAAAUGAACUGUGUUGCUCUAUGGGGAAAAUUCUAACUUCCACUUAAGUCUAAUUUCAGUUCUGUACAAUGAGACUAAGUGGAUUUAUGUGGAAGUUAGGAUCCGCCUCUCUAAGAAUGUCUAAAUGAAUGAUUUGUUAAUAAAUAAAUAUUUUAAAUGGAAAUCCUCCAGGCAAGAAUGUCUGAACCUGUGACUAGCUCACUUUCCAUUAGCUCACCAGUGGAAGAGUCCCAGUCAUAUGUUUUGUGUGUGUUGUUGACAUUAAGCUCUGUGUAUCUCUGUGUUUUCAUUCUUUCUAAAUAGCCUUUUCCUGUCGCGUUACUGGACAUGAAUCAGCCAGUUACUCACACACACUACUCUUCCAAACUAUCUACAACUCAGUUCUAUUGUGUGGGUGUUGAUGUAUUGAAAUGGAAGAAUCUCUGACAACAUGCAGACUUACAAAC
This is a long non-coding RNA of Oncorhynchus tshawytscha (Chinook salmon), 1614 nucleotides long. Lineage: Eukaryota; Metazoa; Chordata; Actinopteri; Salmoniformes; Salmonidae. The record is from Ensembl.